This 93-nucleotide transfer RNA is filed under the name Microdochium bolleyi. It matches the Rfam family "tRNA". Rfam says of the family: Transfer RNA (tRNA) molecules are approximately 80 nucleotides in length. Their secondary structure includes four short double-helical elements and three loops (D, anti-codon, and T loops). The record is from Rfam by way of RNAcentral. Lineage: Eukaryota; Fungi; Ascomycota; Sordariomycetes; Xylariales; Microdochiaceae.
GCGGGGAUAGCUCAGUUGGGAGAGCGUCAGACUGAAGUCUCAACUUCGGUUUCUGUCAUCUGAAGGUCGUGUGUUCGAUCCACACUCACCGCA